GCGGGCGUGGCCAAGUGGUAAGGCAACGGAUUGUGGCUUCGUUAUUCGCGGGUUCGAUCCCCGUCGUUCGCC
RNAcentral lists this transfer RNA (72 nucleotides) under Chloroparvula pacifica. RNAcentral describes it as "tRNA-His". It matches the Rfam family "tRNA". From Rfam's summary of the family: Transfer RNA (tRNA) molecules are approximately 80 nucleotides in length. Their secondary structure includes four short double-helical elements and three loops (D, anti-codon, and T loops). Further hydrogen bonds mediate the characteristic L-shaped molecular structure. tRNAs have two regions of fundamental functional importance: the anti-codon, which is responsible for specific mRNA codon recognition, and the 3' end, to which the tRNAs corresponding amino acid is attached (by aminoacyl-tRNA synthetases). tRNAs cope with the degeneracy of the genetic code in two manners: having more than one tRNA (with a specific anti-codon) for a particular amino acid; and 'wobble' base-pairing, i.e. permitting non-standard base-pairing at the 3rd anti-codon position. RNAcentral also lists the same sequence under 1 other name. Lineage: Eukaryota; Viridiplantae; Chlorophyta; Chloropicophyceae; Chloropicales; Chloropicaceae. The record is from RNAcentral.